RNAcentral lists this ribosomal RNA (460 nucleotides) under uncultured bacterium. Its description in RNAcentral is "partial 16S ribosomal RNA". It matches the Rfam family "Bacterial small subunit ribosomal RNA", at positions 338 to 795 of the family's 1533-position model. The record is from RNAcentral.
CCUACGGGAGGCAGCAGUGAGGAAUAUUGGUCAAUGGACGAGAGUCUGAACCAGCCAAGUAGCGUGAAGGAUGACUGCCCUAUGGGUUGUAAACUUCUUUUAUAUGGGAAUAAAACGUUCCACGUGUGGGAUUUUGUAUGUACCUUAUGAAUAAGGAUCGGCUAACUCCGUGCCAGCAGCCGCGGUAAUACGGAGGAUCCGAGCGUUAUCCGGAUUUAUUGGGUUUAAAGGGAGCGUAGGUGGAUUGUUAAGUCAGUUGUGAAAGUUUGCGGCUCAACCGUAAAAUUGCAGUUGAAACUGGCAGUCUUGAGUACAGUAGAGGUGGGCGGAAUUCGUGGUGUAGCGGUGAAAUGCUUAGAUAUCACGAAGAACUCCGAUUGCGAAGGCAGUUCACUGGACUGCAACUGACACUGAGGCUCGAAAGUGUGGGUAUCAAACAGGAUUAGAUACCCUUGUAGUC